CAAAGUAUAGCUAAAUAGUUUAGUAUUUCAUUUACAUUGAAGUGUGUUAUCGUGCAAGUCGGUUUACUUUGAG
This 73-nucleotide transfer RNA is filed under the name Mahatha ornatipes. RNAcentral describes it as "tRNA-Val". It matches the Rfam family "tRNA". From Rfam's summary of the family: Transfer RNA (tRNA) molecules are approximately 80 nucleotides in length. Lineage: Eukaryota; Metazoa; Arthropoda; Malacostraca; Decapoda; Gecarcinucidae. The record is from RNAcentral.